This 681-nucleotide ribosomal RNA is filed under the name uncultured archaeon. RNAcentral's name for it is "bacterial SSU rRNA". It matches the Rfam family "Archaeal small subunit ribosomal RNA", at positions 1 to 690 of the family's 1478-position model. The record is from RNAcentral.
UUCCGGUUGAUCCUGCCGGAAGUCACUGCUAUCGGGGUUCGAUUAAGCCAUGCGAGUCGAGAGGGUUCAGACCCUCGGCGGACUGCUCAGUAACACGUGGAUAACCUGCCCUAUGGUGGAGAAUAACCCCGGGAAACUGGGGAUAAUACUCCAUAGACUAGAGAUACUGGAAUGUUCUUUAGUUCAAAGUUCCGGCGCCAUAGGAUGGAUCUGCGGCCGAUUAGGUUGUUGUUGGGGUAACGGCCCAACAAGCCUGUAAUCGGUACGGGUUGUGGGAGCAAGAGCCCGGAGAUGGAAUCUGAGACACGAUUCCAGGCCCUACGGGGCGCAGCAGGCGCGAAAACUUUACAAUGCAGGAAACUGUGAUAAGGGAACCCCGAGUGCUCGUACACGCGAGCUGUCCAGGUGUGCAAAAAGCAUCUGAAGAAAGGGCCGGGCAAGACCGGUGCCAGCCGCCGCGGUAGUACCGGCGGCUCGAGUGGUGACCACUAUUAUUGGGCUUAAAGCGUUCGUAGCUGGACUCUUAAGUCUCUUGGGAAAUCCGCCGGCUCAACCGGCGGGCGUCUAAGAGAUACUGGGAGUCUAGGAACCGGAAGAGGUAAGAGGUACUUCGGGGGUAGGAGUGAAAUCCUGUAAUCCUCGAGGGACCACCUAUGGCGAAGGCAUCUUACCAGGACGGCU